This 467-nucleotide ribosomal RNA is filed under the name uncultured bacterium. RNAcentral describes it as "partial 16S ribosomal RNA". It matches the Rfam family "Bacterial small subunit ribosomal RNA", at positions 28 to 507 of the family's 1533-position model. The record is from RNAcentral.
GACGAACGCUGGCGGCGUGCUUAACACAUGCAAGUCGAACGGAAAGGCUCCAGAUUGCUGGAGUACUCGAGUGGCGAACGGGUGAGUAACACGUGGGUAAUCUGCCCUGCACUCUGGGAUAAGCCUGGGAAACUGGGUCUAAUACUGGAUAUGACCUUUCUCCUUAUGGGGUUUGGUGGAAAGUUUUUCGGUGUAGGAUGAGCCCGCGGCCUAUCAGCUUGUUGGUGGGGUGAUGGCCUACCAAGGCGACGACGGGUAGCCGGCCUGAGAGGGUGAUCGGCCACAUUGGGACUGAGAGACGGCCCAGACUCCUACGGGAGGCAGCAGUGGGGAAUAUUGCACAAUGGGCGGAAGCCUGAUGCAGCGACGCCGCGUGAGGGAUGACGGCCUUCGGGUUGUAAACCUCUUUCAGCAGGGACGAAGCGUAAGUGACGGUACCUGCAGAAGAAGCACCGGCUAACUACGUG